CUGCCCACUGCAAGCCCACAGGCUCCAAGGAGGAGGAACCUGAGUGCGCCAUGAGCCUUUUGAGACAGGCCCAAGCCCACCCAGCCGGGUGCUAACCUCGCAUCCGCCAGGCUUGCAGGUUCCACCAGGACUAGGGAAGCCUAAGGCCAAGGAGGGCAAGGUCUAGGGUCUGGACCUGAGAACUGGUUCUGCCACUUGUGAUCGCAGCGCUUAUGCUGGAAAGGAGGGCAGAAAGCAUAUCGCAACGUGUGUCCGGACGAUGACCCAGAACGGGGGAGUUGUGGUCACCCACGGACUCUGGGUCUGCAUAUGGAGGCCCCCAGGGUGCAAUUCCAGGAGCAGAAGGCAAAGCCACAGAGGCCAAAGUGCACCUCGCCGAUGCUUCCCAGGGGCAUUGCCCCAAAUAUGGGGAGCAGUCCCUCCUCUGGGCUAGGGACUUUGUUUCCUCCAUUGUCAUCACUGACUGUGAGCAGACUCUAGUCUAUGCAGACUAAUGAGGAGUUAUCAAAAUGAGCUCCAAACUCCAGAUUUGAGUUAAGGAUCAUAAAUUAACACAGAGAAAUACGACUUUAGCAAUAUGUGACUGUUUGAAGCCCAAGUUGCCUUAAAACACGGAAUUUCAGUCUUUCAGCUCCUCUGCUAAUCUAGUGACUAAGAACAGGAUCUCACUGGAGCUCAAAGAUGUGGGGCACUGGGAAUACUCUGGGUCUGUCUGCUCACGGCUGAUUGCCUGAUCCCAGUUUUAUUAUACAGCUUAAAUACAGACCAGAAGAGGAGUUUGGGGCUUGACACCUGACGUCUUAACACCAGUUCCUGUUUCUUGAGGAAGGAAGAGGUAAAAUAAAUCAGCGUUUACUGUGUCCUUCUCCAUCCCCGGAAGUCUUCAUGAAGACCCUCUCAGCUUCUACUUGAACGUGAAUAUAGCAACUGAUCAUCUGUUCUGCAGUCAGCCCCUGGCCUGAUUCUGACUCAUGAUAUUGACCUUCUCCAUCAUCACCUUCCACAAAUUUGAUUCCUAUCUAUUCUGCCUGGAAUAGUUCAUGAGUAUAGUCACCAUUUAUGUUCCUGACGAAAGACAUUAUGCUCAUUCUCAGGGCCCUGAGACCUCAUCUGCAGCAGGAGAAGGCAUUUGUGGAGAAAGGCAGAUUCCAUGUGUGCAGGCAAAGUGUGUGCUGACAUGAUGAGACCCUGGAGACCAGGGUGGACUCUUCAGACCCAGGACAGGCCUCUGGCAGGUAUGUGUCAAUGUUUUCUGCCCGUGGCACUCACCCGGGUAUUUGCAUACAGUGUCAUCAGCGGAAUUAGUAGUCUCCGGAGAGGCUGCCACAUGUCAACAAGCUUCACCUGGCCAGAGUCCACCCGUGAUGUAGCUCCCCAAUCAGUCACUACUGCCUAGACCUUCCAGAUAGACUAGCAGAUCUUCUCUGCCCAUGGGCAACCAGUAGAGCCAGAGGCCUUCCCCCUUUGCUCUUUCGUCUCUAGGCACUCUAUCAGGCACUCCAAGCUGUGAAGUGACUCAGGGAGAGAAGGAAGAGAUUUCAGAGAAUGAACACAUACAGAGAGAGAGGCAAGAGAUGCUGAGUGGGGAUGUCUUGCGUACUGAUAUCCUCAGGAAAGUGGGAAAAUUGGACCCUGGCCUGCUCUGCCAAUGCCGUGAAGCAGUCCGCUCCAGGGGCUCCCUUGUGCCUGCAUAGCCUUUCCCAGGGUGUGCUCAAAUCCUGUGGCCACUAGGUGUCCUAGGUCACAAUGGAGGACCCUGUGUCAUCUGCCUGGCGGACUGGAUCUCUGCCAUUGGCUGAGUCUUGUCACCAGGCCCAUCAUAAGCUCUGCCCACUCUUCCGGUGGGGAGACUCUCUCCAUGGUGAUGGCAAAGAAACCUUAGUCCUGCCCACCUGGCCUUCACUUCACGUACCUGGCCUGCUGACCCUCACUCAGACCUCUGUGUUGAUCAAAAUGAAUGUCCGCCAGUGGCCCGGUGUCAGCGUCUGGUAAAAAGGAUUCGGGACCAUGCCUGAGGCAGAAGGCAGCCUAGGUCUGCGGGUACCUGGAAGUCUAGUGACUUGUGACGCUGCUGCCAGUGACAAAUGGUGACUCCCACACUCACAUAUCCCCUGGCGGCAGAAGGAUAGUGAUGGGUGGAGAAACAUGGCUCCGGAGCACACGUUCAGUGGGGCACCGGCGAAAUGCCAGGGCCAGUAGUGGACGUCGUGGAGCUGCAUGGCGAGCCACUGAAGGGCCUAAGGAUUUCUCCGAUGAGGCAAAAUGCAGAUCAAGCCAAGGAACACAAAGAUAAAGCAGCUGAAGAAAUUAAAAAGGUUACUCAAGAACAUAAUUAAAAAUUUAAUAAGCUGUAAGAAACCAUAGAGAGACUGCAAUCAGAGAUUGAGAAGAUUAACAAUAAAAUUACAGUUAGAAAACUCAAUAGAAAGUAAGAAGAGCACAAUUGAGGAAUUGGAAGGCAGAAUUACUGAGAUUGAAGAUCAAACUCUUGGGACUAAUAUAUUUGAUGAGAAAGCAGAUAAAAGAAUUUUAAAUGAAGAAAUCCAAAGAAUCAUGUGGGACUUUAUCAAGAGAAAUAACUAUGAGUGAUUUCAGUACCAGAACAGGGAGGGCUAACAGAAAAUACAAAGGGAACUGUUGAAGAUUUGUUGGCAGAAAACUUCCAUGAUAUCAUGAAAGAUGCUCAUCGAAUUCCACAUAAGGUAGAUCUCAAAAGAAAGUGACCGAGACACAUAAUAAUCAAACUUGCCAAAAUCAAAUAUAAAGAGAAUUUUAAGAGAGGCUAGGGAUAAAGGAAGUCACCAACAAAGGAGAGUAAAUAAUAAAAA
Molecule: long non-coding RNA, 2828 nt
Organism: Loxodonta africana (African savanna elephant)
Lineage: Eukaryota; Metazoa; Chordata; Mammalia; Proboscidea; Elephantidae
Exons: 4
Source: RefSeq, a predicted model, not a curated record